AACGCACCUUGCGCUCCUUGGUAUUCCGAGGAGCAUGCCUGUUUGAGUGUCUUGAAGUCAUCAACCCCUUCCGUUUCGUGCGGGAAGGGUUGGACGUGGGGGCUCUGCUGCCGCGAGGCGGCUCCCCUCAAAUGCAUCGGUUGGGCCUGUGGGUCGAACUCGACUGGGCGUUGUACCAUCCUCGCUCGACAGAGACGUUCCCCUUCCGCGCCCUCCCCCGACCUGCCUAUCAGAGCGGCGGUCAAGCAACAAACUUUGAAAUCUGACCUCAAAUCAGGUAGGACUACCCGCUGAACUUAAGCAUAUCAAUAAGCGGAGGACGAUCUCAAGAGCUCGUGUGAAUCAUCGAGUCUUUGAACGCACAUUGCGCCCCGUGGUAUUCCGCGGGGCAUGCCUGUUCGAGCGUCAUUACACCACUCAAGCCUCGCUUGGUAUUGGGCGACGCGGUUAGCCGCGCGCCUCAAAUCUUCCGGCUGGUUCGAAUCGUCCCUCAGCGUUGUGGAAACUAUUCGCUAAAGGUGCUCGUUUCGGUCACGCCGUUAAACAAACCAAUUCAUUAAAGGUUGACCUCGGAUCAGGUAGGGAUACCCGCUGAACUUAA
RNAcentral lists this unclassified non-coding RNA (601 nucleotides) under uncultured fungus. RNAcentral's name for it is "partial contains 5.8S ribosomal RNA, internal transcribed spacer 2, and large subunit ribosomal RNA". The stretch from base 317 to 408 matches the Rfam family "5.8S ribosomal RNA", at positions 40 to 154 of the family's 154-position model. Lineage: Eukaryota; Fungi. The record is from RNAcentral.